RNAcentral lists this ribosomal RNA (2509 nucleotides) under Triticum aestivum (bread wheat). Its description in RNAcentral is "partial small subunit ribosomal RNA". The record is from RNAcentral. Lineage: Eukaryota; Viridiplantae; Streptophyta; Magnoliopsida; Poales; Poaceae.
CAGGUGCCUAUGCGUUGUUCCCCUCGGUUGGAUUGUUCAUCCUUCUUCGCCGGUGGUGUGCUCGUCCGUUGCAGUAGCCUUCGUGUGCUGGAUGAACACUGCCGGUUGAGGUUGGUGCCCUUCUUUACUUGAUUCUUGCUUCUUCCUUCCUUUUCCCUGCGCCCUGGUAACCUCUGUUCUUCCUCUUGUCCCCAUCGUGUGCAAGUUGGUUUCUACCCGUUGUGUCCUGCAUCGACAGUCGCAUCUUUCUGCCAUUGCCAUUGAGGUCUACCUCCGUUUGUCUAGCAGGUUCAACGAUCUGCUAGGUUGCUGCAUCUGCAACUCUGUGCUGCUGUUCAGGGUUUGCUUUAUUCUUUCUUCCCUACAUGCUUGUUCUUUCUCGCUACACACAUGCUUCUCUUUCUCUAAGUACCGUAAUACUGCUGUGCUGUCUCUAGCUACAUGCAUUUACCUUUCUUUGUCGGUCUAAUUGUCUAUUGAUGGGCCAUGGUUAUGUGAACUUUAAGAUGUAAUAAUAUAUGGUGUUUAAAUUUGUAUUGUUCAUUAGCGCCUAUGAUUUUGCGCUAAAGAGUCGUCCGAUAUCCAAGUUUUUAUAUAUUUUUACACCAUUGCAGUCCAUAACUUGCUUCAAUCCUGUUACACAUUGGAUUGAAGAUAGGUCGUCCAUUUUUAUUGACUUUUUUUGUACAUUGUGAAGUCAUGGCCCCAGUUUAUAUUCAUGUUUAGUUUGCUGUGUAGUUCAUGUAUGCUCUGUAAAGAGCAUGUACAGCUAAUGGGUUUAAUUCGUUUGUUCCUUUUUUAGAUGUUCCGUAUCGGUGCAUAAUUCAACUUGAUCCAUACAGUGCCAGUGAUUUUGUAAGAUUUGCCCAUAUCUUUUGAGGAAAUAAUUAUGCUUCAGGAAGAUGCUAAAUAAGCUGGUCAGCUCUGCCUCUGGGGCAAAAGGUCAGCAAAUCUGCUUGGUUGUUCUUCCCAAGGUGAUGAGUAAUUGCUUGUUGCAGAGUACAUGCCUAGAAAGACAUAUCUUCCACUGUGAGUAUGUUAACUGCUUGUGAGCAGGCCACUGUUAACUGCUUGUGAGCAGGCCACUACUUUACAAAGUUUACUACAGCAGCAAGGACGCUAUGCUUUGAUUAGUUGAGCCGUCCUCUGUUAUUUCGUUCAUGGGCAGAGUGGGUGGAGGUGCAGCGCCUCAGCAUGUCAAGGAUAAAGUUUGAUUUUCUCUGUACUACUCCAACUUGGUCCUAUCUCUAACUACAGAAAUUUUAUGUAUCGUUUUAAUUUAGAUUUAUUAUUAUUAGAAUUAGAUGGUGUGCAUUGAAUAUGAAAAUAGGGCCAAGUACUGCUUUGGCGUAUAUCCUAUUGAGUUUUCAUGGGACCUUGAAGCUCACGGUUGAUCUCUUUGUAGCUUAUAAAAGUUAGUUAUAUCAUUUUACUGGAUGUAUAAUCAGAAAGGUGGGCCAACAAACUGUAAUAUGUGACAUAAAAUAUGAUAAUGCAGGCUUCCUUUAUUUUCUUCCAUGGGCAGAGUGGGUGGAGGUACACAGCCUCAAGAUGUCAAGGAAUCUGAUCCUUAUUUGACAGUGAACUUAGAAGGGUUUUCCAUCUUAUAAUAUGAUAAUGCAGGCUUCCUUACCUUGACCAGAAUUUAGCAUUUUGGUAUUGCCUCCUUACCAUGCAAUGUAGGCUUCAGCACCACUUUUUAAAUAUAAGCCAUCAUUUGUGCUGGUCCUUAUCAAGCAGUUCCUUAUCAAAGGGGAUUUUGAUGUUCUCGCUGAAACAGAGGACUUGAAUUGAUGAUUUCUAGGAUUAGUAAACAUUAGCACAAUCCUGAUUAUCCAGUUGAGAAAUCUUAUAUUUUAAUUGCGAAAAGUAAUGUAGGCUGCAAGAGUUGUCUUUUAAGUAAUGCAAAUUCUUCUGUCAGUAGCUAAUGCUGUUUAGAAAUUUUGAUUUCCCAUUUUUUUGUAGCUCUCUUCAUUUUUGUCACUGGUUUACAUUUGUUUUAUAUCUUUCUCAUUCUGUUCAUAGCAUUUUGUCAUGUUUCUUCCUUUCUACAGAGCUAUUUUGAUGUGUCAAGAAUUUUGGCUAAUUGAUGGCUCAAAUGAUUGCAAGCAUAUGAUCUUGUCGGCUUGAGUGAUUGCAGGCAUAUCGACUACAGGAAAACGUAGCACAGAAGAUUCUUCCUUCCCUUUUUUGUUUUGGUGAAAUUGCAGUCAAGCUACUUACAUACGACUCUUAUCAGGGCAUUCGAGAAUUCUCAAAUUGGGUCUGCUUCUGUUUUAGCCUGAUUUAUGUUUCUACUGUAGGUGUUGCUCUAUGGCAGUACAUACUUUUUGCACUAUUGAAGAGAUAAGAACAGCGUGCUACCUAUUUAUGCUUUUAGUAUGGCUUGAUAGACCGAGGACCUAUUGUGGAACUGAUAUUGUUUUUUAAAUGUUGGAACAAAUGAUGGUUUGAUCUGUGUAUUUCUCAACAGGUGGAGAUCGAAUUUAAUAAUAUUGACAUGCCCCGG